GGCUCUUCAGGAGAAAGAGGAACCGGACAUCCUCCAGUUCAGGGCCGACCACCGUGCCCUUGGCAAGGAGCCAUAACCCUCUGGAGACCACAAGUGCAGCUCCUCCUGAGCAGCAGGGCCACUGGGACCCUCGGGGUGCACCGGGUCAGCUCUUCCCCCCCCACCCCAAGUGAAGGAGGACAUCUGAAGACUUUCCCUGGUUUCCCCUAAAGCCCCAGGCGGAGGGCACGACCCCCCUCCAAAUCCCUGACAUCUGCACCCCAGGGACUGUUUAUCCAUUGAGGAGGAGCAUUAGUAUAUGUUUAAGAGUAAAUAUCAGAUUUGAA
This is a long non-coding RNA of Diceros bicornis minor, 326 nucleotides long. RefSeq lists it as uncharacterized. NCBI's taxonomy places the organism in Eukaryota, Metazoa, Chordata, Mammalia, Perissodactyla, Rhinocerotidae. The record is from RefSeq and is a predicted model, not a curated record. The transcript is spliced from 2 exons.